CCUACGGGUGGCAGCAGUGGGGAAUAUUGCACAAUGGGGGAAACCCUGAUGCAGCAACGCCGCGUGAGUGAAGAAGUAUUUCGGUAUGUAAAGCCCUAUCAGCAGGGAAGAAGAUGACGGUACCUGACCAAGAAGCCCCGGCUAACGACGUGCCAGCAGCCGCGGGAAUACGGAGGGGGCAAGCGUUCUCCGGAUUUACUGGGUGUAAGGGGAGCGCAGACGGGAGUGCAAGGCUGGAGUGAAAGCCCGGGGACCAACCCCGGAACUGCUCUGGGAACUGUGCGGCUGGGUUACUGGAGGGGCAGGCGGACUGCCUAGUGUAGCGGUGAAAUGCGUAGAUAUUAGGAGGAACACCAGUGGCGAAGGCGGCCUGCUGGACAGUGACUGACGUUGAGGCUCGAACGCGUGGGGAGCAAACAGGAUUAGAUACCCGAGUAGUC
This 440-nucleotide ribosomal RNA is filed under the name uncultured bacterium. Its description in RNAcentral is "partial 16S ribosomal RNA". It matches the Rfam family "Bacterial small subunit ribosomal RNA", at positions 338 to 795 of the family's 1533-position model. The record is from RNAcentral.